CCUACGGGUGGCAGCAGUGGGGAAUAUUGGACAAUGGGGGCUACCCUGAUCCAGCCAUGCCGCGUGUGUGAAGAAGGCCCUCGGGUUGUAAAGCACUUUCAGUGAGGAAGAACGCCUGGUGGUUAAUACCCAUCAGGAAAGACAUCACUCACAGAAGAAGCACCGGCUAACUCCGUGCCAGCAGCCGCGGUAAUACGGAGGGUGCGAGCGUUAAUCGGAAUUACUGGGCGUAAAGCGCGCGUAGGUGGCUUGAUAAGCCGGUUGUGAAAGCCCCGGGCUCAACCUGGGAACGGCAUCCGGAACUGUCAAGCUAGAGUGCAGGAGAGGAAGGUAGAAUUCCCGGUGUAGCGGUGAAAUGCGUAGAGAUCGGGAGGAAUACCAGUGGCGAAGGCGGCCUUCUGGACUGACACUGACACUGAGGUGCGAAAGCGUGGGUAGCAAACAGGAUUAGAUACCCGUGUAGUC
RNAcentral lists this ribosomal RNA (465 nucleotides) under Vreelandella stevensii. Its description in RNAcentral is "partial 16S ribosomal RNA". It matches the Rfam family "Bacterial small subunit ribosomal RNA", at positions 338 to 795 of the family's 1533-position model. Lineage: Bacteria; Pseudomonadati; Pseudomonadota; Gammaproteobacteria; Oceanospirillales; Halomonadaceae. The record is from RNAcentral.